AGUCGUAACAAGGUAUCCGUAGGUGAACCUGCGGAUGGAUCAUUACCAAAGGAUCCCAUCCAAACACCCUGUGAACUGGUCUUAACUCGGUCGGCGCCGAUGUUGCGACAAAGGUCUGCUCGUUACUGUAUUUUCGGCCUACGAGGAAUCAUGUUUUGGCUGAGCGACUACAAUCGUGAGGCUGUAAUGGAAACCUUGGGGGUCUAAAAAGACAUUGUGAGUGGACGUGCUGGAGCAACACUCUGUGUCGGCCGUACAACAACUUUCAAACCAUUCUGAAAUCAUAAAGUCAAUAACCUAGAACAACUUUUAGCAAUGGAUCUCUAGGCUCUU
Molecule: unclassified non-coding RNA, 333 nt
Filed under: fungal sp.
Lineage: Eukaryota; Fungi
Description: partial internal transcribed spacer region
Rfam family: Eukaryotic small subunit ribosomal RNA (bases 1-45)
Source: RNAcentral